GAUGAAGAACGUAGCGAAAUGCGAUAAGUAAUGUGAAUUGCAGAAUUCAGUGAAUCAUCGAAUCUUUGAACGCACAUUGCGCCCGUCAGUAUUCUGGCGGGCAUGCCUGUUCGAGCGUCAUUACGCCCCUCAAGUCCCCUGUGGACUUGGUGUUGGGGAUCGGCGAGGCUGGUUUUCCAGCACAGCCGUCCCUUAAAUUAAUUGGCGGUCUUGCCGUGGCCCUCCUCUGCGCAGUAGUAAAACACUCGCAACAGGAGCCCGGCGCGGUCCACUGCCGUAAAACCCCCCAACUUUUUAUAGUUGACCUCGAAUCAGGUAGGACUACCCGCUGAACUUAAGCAUAUCAAUAAGCGGAGGA
Molecule: unclassified non-coding RNA, 358 nt
Filed under: soil metagenome
Description: partial contains 5.8S ribosomal RNA, internal transcribed spacer 2, and large subunit ribosomal RNA
Rfam family: 5.8S ribosomal RNA (bases 1-120)
Source: RNAcentral